This is a small nucleolar RNA of Clupea harengus (Atlantic herring), 77 nucleotides long. RefSeq annotates it as small nucleolar RNA SNORD103/SNORD85. Lineage: Eukaryota; Metazoa; Chordata; Actinopteri; Clupeiformes; Clupeidae. The record is from RefSeq and is a predicted model, not a curated record.
UCUGGCAUUGAUGACAAACUUGCCCUCACUGAGCGUUUUUUAAAACCCGAUAAUGAUCCAUUUAUAUCUGAGCCAGA